AUUUCCACGGCAGCAAGCACCACUCUGUGCCUAUCUCUAUCUACCGCUCCCCUGUCUCCCUCCGAGGAGGACACGGAGUAAAGGAGACAAGAAUUAUCAGAAGAACCAUUAAAGAUCCAAGUAGCUCUCAACAAAAGACACAGAAGAUUUGAAACUGGAGGAAAAAAUGUACUGUCCAAGUGAAGAAAAAGGAAAAGAAGGAGUAUCAGAGCUUCUUAUCAGCAGAGUUGCCUUGUUGGCUACUUUUAGAUAUGAGCUGAGGAGAUGCAGUGUGCUCUGCGGAAGGUGUAGGGUCUGCAACCUGCCCACGAGAGCACUGGGUUGCUGAUGCUCAAUUUACAGUGGUCUUCUAGCCACACGCUUUUUUGACCUUGGAUCUAGACUCCACAGUAUGCCAUACUUUCUUCCAAAUUCAGUUUACUAUGAUGAUUGAUACACUUGUUUUGCUUAAUUUUUUUUACCAUUACCUGUGUUCUUGGAAGCAUGAAGUGCCAUUACCAAUAUCUAGGUGUCAUUAAUACAUUUAAUUAUUUACUGGUCUAAAGAUUGAAGGCACUUUUUUAAUACUACUUGCUGUGGAGGGUGUUAUGGAAAUUAGGCUUGUCGGCCACCAUAACAGGGCUUGACCCCAGGUUCUCGCAGGUAAAGUUCAGAGCCAAAUCAAAACAAAUGAAAUUUUAAUCACACGCGUGCCGUAAUUACAGCUCGAGCUGGGUGCCUCCAAAGAGGGACCCUCACGUAAACAAAUCCUGGGCAAUUAUAGUUUUUUCAACUUACAUUUCCCACCCCUCAUGCGGUAGUUAGACCAAUAGCAAUUUUUUGGUCUGGGGUCUCCUGCUCCUCAUUGGGUCUCAUCGUCGUUCUUAGGUAAGCUGUUUUUCUCUUUAUUCUUGUUUUUUGCGGUCUCUGAUGAAGGUUGUACCUCUGUUUUUGU
Long non-coding RNA from Dromaius novaehollandiae (emu), 934 nucleotides. RefSeq lists it as uncharacterized. The transcript has 2 exons. NCBI's taxonomy places the organism in Eukaryota, Metazoa, Chordata, Aves, Casuariiformes, Dromaiidae. The record is from RefSeq and is a predicted model, not a curated record.